CUUGAUUGUUGAUGAUUUAAUUGAAAUUGAUUUAGGGUUUGUACAUUUUCUACUUUCAAUUAAUUAUUAUUAGGAUUUGUGCAAUUUCAGCGGUAAAGGAAUUUUAAUUUAUGGUUUAUACAAUUUCUGCUUGCAAUUCAGUUUUCAUUUGCUGCAAUACACUGAGCUAUAGGCUAAUUAUUAUUGAGUAUUUUCAUUUGUAGCAAUUUGU
Molecule: unclassified non-coding RNA, 211 nt
Filed under: Hevea brasiliensis (rubber tree)
Lineage: Eukaryota; Viridiplantae; Streptophyta; Magnoliopsida; Malpighiales; Euphorbiaceae
Source: RNAcentral